RNAcentral lists this long non-coding RNA (270 nucleotides) under Lupinus angustifolius (narrow-leaved blue lupine). RNAcentral's name for it is "long non-coding RNA (LANG_LNC000717)". The record is from RNAcentral. Lineage: Eukaryota; Viridiplantae; Streptophyta; Magnoliopsida; Fabales; Fabaceae.
UUUUUGGCAUAUCCUAUUUAUUACUGGGUCCAGGAACAUUUCUUAAGCUACGUCUCUGAAAAGUGCUUUCUGAAGGGUUUUGAGAUUCCUCAUUAGCUUGAUCUUCUGCCUUUGAAUCAAUAGCUUCAUCUUUGUAAAGAGUUUUUCUUUUUCUGCCUUUGAAUCAAAAAACUAUCUUUUUUUCCUUCAUGAAUGGUUUCGACGGUGGGUGGCGGGUUCCGGUGCCAGUUGCUGCGGCGAGGCAUGGUGGUUUAGUUUGUAUCAAAUGAG